This 460-nucleotide ribosomal RNA is filed under the name uncultured bacterium. RNAcentral describes it as "partial 16S ribosomal RNA". It matches the Rfam family "Bacterial small subunit ribosomal RNA", at positions 338 to 795 of the family's 1533-position model. The record is from RNAcentral.
CCUACGGGUGGCAGCAGUGAGGAAUAUUGGUCAAUGGACGAGAGUCUGAACCAGCCAAGUAGCGUGCAGGAUGACGGCCCUAUGGGUUGUAAACUUCUUUUAUAUGGGAAUAAAACGUUCCACGUGUGGGAUUUUGUAUGUACCAUAUGAAUAAGGAUCGGCUAACUUCGUGCCAGCAGCCGCGGUAAUACGGAGGAUCCGAGCGUUAUCCGGAUUUAUUGGGUUUAAAGGGAGCGUAGGUGGAUUGUUAAGUCAGUUGUGAAAGUUUGCGGCUCAACCGUAAAAUUGCAGUUGAAACUGGCAGUCUUGAGUACAGUAGAGGUGGGCGGAAUUCGUGGUGUAGCGGUGAAAUGCUUAGAUAUCACGAAGAACUCCGAUUGCGAAGGCAGUUCACUGGACUGCAACUGACACUGAGGCUCGAAAGUGUGGGUAUCAAACAGGAUUAGAUACCCCUGUAGUC